Molecule: unclassified non-coding RNA, 433 nt
Filed under: soil metagenome
Description: partial contains 5.8S ribosomal RNA, internal transcribed spacer 2, and large subunit ribosomal RNA
Rfam family: 5.8S ribosomal RNA (bases 1-120)
Source: RNAcentral
GAUGAAGAACGCAGCGAAAUGCGAUACGUAAUGUGAAUUGCAGAAUUCAAUGAAUCAUCGAAUCUUUGAACGCAUAUUGCGCUCUCUGGUAUUCCGGAGAGCAUGCUUGUUUGAGUAUCAGUAAACACCUCAACUCCCUUUUCUUUUUUGAAAUGGGAGCUGGACUUGAGUGAUCCCAACACUUUUUUCACUGGAAAGUGGCGGGUCACUUGAAAUGCAGGUGCAGCUGGACUUUUCUCUGAGCUAUAAGCAUAUCUAUUUAGUCUGCCUAAAAAACAGAUUAUUACCUUUGCUGCAGCUAACAUAAAGGAGAUGAGUUCUUGUGCUGACUGAUGCAGGAUUCACAGAGACAGCUUUGCGGCUGACUUUGUAAACUCGAUCUCAAAUCAAGUAAGACUACCCGCUGAACUUAAGCAUAUCAAUAAGCGGAGGA